This 329-nucleotide ribosomal RNA is filed under the name uncultured eukaryote. RNAcentral's name for it is "partial 18S ribosomal RNA". It matches the Rfam family "Eukaryotic small subunit ribosomal RNA", at positions 1470 to 1796 of the family's 1831-position model. The record is from RNAcentral.
CCCUUAGAUGUUCUGGGCCGCACGCGCGCUAAACUGAUGCAUUCAACGAGUCUAAAACCUGCUCUGAUAGGGGUGGGUAAUCUUUUGAAUGUGCAUCGUGAUUGGGAUAGAUGAUUGCAAUUUUUCAUCUUCAACGAGGAAUGCCUAGUAAACGCAAGUCAUCAGCUUGCAUUGAUUACGUCCCUGCCCUUUGUACACACCGCCCGUCGCUCCUACCGAUUGAAUGAUCCGAUGAAUAUCAUGGAUUGAGGAUGCAAGUAGGUUCGCCUAUCUUCAUCUUCGAGAAGUGAAGUAAAUCUUAUCAUUUAGAGGAAGGAGAAGUCGUAACA